This 541-nucleotide ribosomal RNA is filed under the name uncultured Methanosarcinales archaeon. Its description in RNAcentral is "bacterial SSU rRNA". It matches the Rfam family "Archaeal small subunit ribosomal RNA", at positions 378 to 919 of the family's 1478-position model. Lineage: Archaea; Methanobacteriati; Methanobacteriota; Methanomicrobia; Methanosarcinales. The record is from RNAcentral.
ACCCCGAGUGCCAGUACUAAGUGCUGGCUGUCUAGAUGAAUAGAUAUCAUUUAAUAGCAAGGGCCGGGCAAGACCGGUGCCAGCCGCCGCGGUAACACCGGCGGCCCGAGUGGUAACCGAUAUUAUUGGGUCUAAAGGGUCCGUAGCCUGUUUAAUAAGUCCUUUGGGAAAUCUGGCAGCUUAACUGUCAGGCUGCUAAAGGAUACUGUUAAACUUGGGACCGGUAGACGUAGGGGGUACUCCAGGGGUAGGAGUGAAAUCUUGUAAUCCCUGGGGGACCAUCUGUGGCGAAGGCGCCCUACGAGAACGGGUCCGACGGUGAGGGACGAAAGCUAGGGGAGCAAACCGGAUUAGAUACCCGGGUAGUCCUAGCUGUAAACGAUGCUCGCUAGGUGUCAGGCACGGUGCGUCCGUGUCUGGUGCCGCAGGGAAGCCGUUAAGCGAGCCACCUGGGGAGUACGGUCGCAAGGCUGAAACUUAAAGGAAUUGGCGGGGGAGCACUACAACGGGUGGAGCCUGCGGUUUAAUUGGAUUCAACGCC